This is a long non-coding RNA of Mycetomoellerius zeteki, 83 nucleotides long. RefSeq lists it as uncharacterized. The transcript is spliced from 3 exons. Lineage: Eukaryota; Metazoa; Arthropoda; Insecta; Hymenoptera; Formicidae. The record is from RefSeq and is a predicted model, not a curated record.
UGCUGAUUGGUUCUCUCGCUGCGUUUACUUCACGAGUAUCUGUCAUUGCCAAAAUUGUGUGUUUUGACACACAAUGUCAAAAC